AAGACGGUCUUGCUGUCACUUAUAGAUGGAUCCGCGCUGCAUUAGCUAGUUGGUAAGGUAACGGCUUACCAAGGCAACGAUGCAUAGCCGACCUGAGAGGGUGAUCGGCCACACUGGAACUGAGACACGGUCCAGACUCCUACGGGAGGCAGCAGUAGGGAAUCUUCCGCAAUGGGCGAAAGCCUGACGGAGCAACGCCGCGUGAGUGAUGAAGGUCUUCGGAUCGUAAAACUCUGUUAUUAGGGAAGAACAUAUGUGUAAGUAACUGUGCACAUCUUGACGGUACCUAAUCAGAAAGCCACGGCUAACUACGUGCCAGCAGCCGCGGUAAUACGUAGGUGGCAAGCGUUAUCCGGAAUUAUUGGGCGUAAAGCGCGCGUAGGCGGUUUUUUAAGUCUGAUGUGAAAGCCCACGGCUCAACCGUGG
RNAcentral lists this ribosomal RNA (426 nucleotides) under Staphylococcus aureus. RNAcentral describes it as "bacterial SSU rRNA". It matches the Rfam family "Bacterial small subunit ribosomal RNA", at positions 202 to 618 of the family's 1533-position model. The record is from RNAcentral. Lineage: Bacteria; Bacillati; Bacillota; Bacilli; Caryophanales; Staphylococcaceae.